RNAcentral lists this long non-coding RNA (1473 nucleotides) under Homo sapiens (human). RNAcentral's name for it is "HSALNT0221269". Lineage: Eukaryota; Metazoa; Chordata; Mammalia; Primates; Hominidae. The record is from RNAcentral.
CCCCACGGUCUCCCUCUCCCUCUCUUUCCACGGUCUCCCUCUGAUGCCGAGCCGAAGCUGGACUGUACUGCUGCCAUCUCGGCUCACUGCAACCUCCCUGCCUGAUUCUCCUGCCUCAGCCUGCCGAGUGCCUGCGAUUGCAGGCGCGUGCCGCCACGCCUGACUGGUUUUCACAUUUGUUUGGUGGAGACGAAGUUUCGCUGUGUUGGCCGGGCCGGUCUCCAGCUCCUAACCGCGAGUGAUCCGCCAGCCUCGGCCUCCCGAGGUGCCGGGAUUGCAGACGGAGUCUGGUUCACUCAGUGCUCAAUGGUGCCCAGGCUGGAGUGCAGUGGCGUGAUCUCGACUCGCUACAACCUCCACCUCCCAGCCGCCUGCCUUGGCCUCCCAAAGUGCCGAGAUUGCAGCCUCUGCCUGGCCGCCACCCCGUCUGGGAAGUGAGGAGCGUCUCUGCCUGGCCGCCCAUCGUCUGGGAUGUGAGGAGCCCCUCUGCCUGGCUGCCCAGUCUGGAAAGUGAGGAGCGUCUCUGCCCGCCCGCCAUCCCAUCUAGGAAGUGAGGAGCGCCUCUUUCCGGCCGCCAUCCCAUCUAGGAAGUGAGGAGUGUCUCUGCCCGGCCGCCCAUCGUCUGAGAUGUGGGGAGCGCCUCUGCCCCGCCGCCCCGUCUGGGAUGUGAGGAGCGCCUCUGCCCUGCCGUGACCCCGUCUGGGAGCUAAAAUUCAAGUAAUGGACUAUUUGGAUGAUAGCGUGCCCGGAAUUGGUUCCUUCCGAUAUUCUUGGUCUCGCUGACUUUAACAAUGAAGCCUCAGACCAUUGCGCACAGUCCAGUGUUAAGACAGGGCAUGAGGACCAGCUCCACUGGAAACACCAGCCAGCGUCUUAACCGGGGAGGAAGGAAGGUGUGUGCUGGGCAAGUGGGGCAUGUGACAAAGUGGAACUGAAGUGGCCGUCGCUUGCCUUUAGGCCAGCAGGUUCCUCAGCAGCCUUUGCUCAUAGGCUGGCUUAACUAUGAUCCUGCUGUGGGAAGAUAAAAAAACUGACCGAAGGAGAUAGGCUGAGUAAUGGCUCCCUCAAGAUGUCCAUAUUUCAUCCCUGGAACCUGUGAAUACAUUUCUUUAUGUGGCAAAAGGGACUUUGUGGCUGUGAUUAAACUAAGAACCUUGAAAUGAGGAGAUUCUCCGGGAUCGUCCAGAUGCAUCAAAUGUAACAAGAAGGAGUCAGAGUCAGGCUGGAAGCCGCUAUGCUGCUGGCUUUGAAGGCAGAUGAAGGGGCCAAGGAAUUAGGGUGGUCUCUAGAAUCUGGAAAAGGCAAUGAAAUUGAUUCUCCCCUAGAGCUUUCAGAAGGAAUGCAGCCUUGCCCACACCUUCAUUUUAGACCAGUGAAACUGAUUUUAGACUUCUGACUGCCAGAACUGUAAGAUAAUAAAUGUAUAUUGUUUGAAGCUACUAGGUUUGUGGUCAUUUGUUACAUCAGCAACAG